Molecule: long non-coding RNA, 1421 nt
Filed under: Homo sapiens (human)
Lineage: Eukaryota; Metazoa; Chordata; Mammalia; Primates; Hominidae
Description: HSALNT0034673
Source: RNAcentral
CAUUUCAACAACUGUUAGAGGCUAUUACCACUCCCGUUGCAUGCAAGAAAAUUAGCUGUAAUUGGAUGAGAAAAAAGAUUCAAGAAGAUUGAGUGGCUUCCUAAGAUGUGUAAGGGCUUGGAACACUGGAGAUUUUUUUUAUGUGUUUUUUUUUUUUUUUUUAUCAAAAGUCACCAGAUGGAAAAUGACAAAGUCAGUCAAAGGAGCCCAGGAUGACCAUGACUGCUUGCUCCCUGGCAAAGCCAAUCUGACGACACUGUCAAUUAGCUCUUACAGCAGCAGCAUUGUUUAUUUACAAGAACUGACUUCAAGUUCCAGUUCACCAAGUUCAUCAGAGGGCAAAUGAGAAUUGCAGUGCUUGGAGACUUAAUUUUAGAUGUACUUAUAUGUUGUCUGGAUGGCCCAACUCCAGGUGAUACUAUUUGCUGAUUUUUCUAAACAUCUUUAUUUAGAUGCAAUGGAUAUGCCAUAAAAUUCACUCAAAGCAUACAAUUUAAUGAGUUCAGAGUUGUGCAACCAUCAGCACUCUCUACAUGUAGACACUUUUAUCUUCCCCAAAAUAAAUUGGUUACCCAUUACCAAUCAUUUCCUAUUCCCUCUACCCUUUCCUCCAGCCAUAGACAGUCACUAAUCUACUUUCUGUCUCUAGAUUUGCCUGUUCUGGAUAUGUAAUAUAAAUGAAAUUGUACAAUACACAGUCUUUUGUGACUAUCUUCCUUUACUUAGCACAAUGUUUUUAAGGUUCGUCUAUGUUGUAGCAUGCAUUACUACUUCAUUCUUUUUUAUUGCUGAAUUAUAUUCCAUUGCAUGGCUAUACCAUAUUUUGCUUUUCUAUUCAUCAGGCAGCAGACAUUUGUGUUCUCUGCAAUUUUUGGCUGUUGUGAAUAAUGCUGUAUGAACAUUCAUGUGCAAGUGUGUGUGGAUGUGUGUUUUCCUAUCUCUUGGAUUAUGCCCAGAAAUGGAAUUACUGGAUCAUAUGGUAACUCUAUAUUUAGCAACUUGAGAACCUACCGAACUAUUUUGCAAAGUAGCUGUACCAUUCUACAUUCCUAUCAGCAAUGAGUGAGGGUUCUAAUUUCUCCAUAUCCUCUCCCACACUUAUUAUUGUCCAUCUUCUUUUUUGAUUAUAGCCAUCCUAGUGGGUGUGAAGUAGAAUCUCACUAUGGUUUUGAUUUGCAUUUCCCUAAUGGGUAAUGAUGUUGAGGAUAUUUUCAUGUGCUUAUUAGCCAUUUGCAUGUCUUUCUGGAUAAAUAUCUAUUCAAAUCUCUAGUAUAAUAAAAAAUAUUUAGUCUUCAUCCUUUGUUCCUGUCACACAGCUUCUAAAACGCUUGGAAGCUCUAGAGUGAUGAGCGUCUUUUCUAUAUUAAUGAGAUGACUGGUAGUCCCUAGAUAGCUUCAGCAUGGGGGCUGUUUGCCAAAAA